GGGGUAGUUACGGAUUCGAUUGUUCGCGGAGGGCCUUGUAAGCAUACCGAAGCCCCGGCUUCGUUAAAACGGGAAAUUAAAUUUAAAUGCAAACAAAAAUAAUUUUGCAUUCGCCGCAUAAUUUUUAGCGGCUGUUCGGCGCGGGUUUCCCGUCGGCUUGCGUUCGGGCAUCAUUUUCAGGCGGGGGACGUUCGGCUGGUUUUAAUUGCGGCGAGCCGAUCGCAUUUUGCAAUUCACGGCGGCGCGGGUUUGUUCUUCGAAACGCGCCGAAAGGGAUCAAAGAAGAAAUAAGUAUGUAGAAAGCAGGUUUGAAACGGGUAAGACGGCGGUUCAACUCCGCCCUACUCCACCA
Molecule: transfer-messenger RNA, 352 nt
Filed under: Clostridia bacterium
Lineage: Bacteria; Bacillati; Bacillota; Clostridia
Rfam family: transfer-messenger RNA
About the family: Bacterial tmRNA, also known as 10Sa RNA or SsrA, is named for its dual tRNA and mRNA-like properties. Its role is to liberate the mRNA from a stalled ribosome. To accomplish this part of the tmRNA is used as a reading frame that ends in a translation stop signal.
Source: RNAcentral